RNAcentral lists this ribosomal RNA (440 nucleotides) under uncultured bacterium. RNAcentral describes it as "partial 16S ribosomal RNA". It matches the Rfam family "Bacterial small subunit ribosomal RNA", at positions 338 to 795 of the family's 1533-position model. The record is from RNAcentral.
CCUACGGGAGGCAGCAGUGAGGGAUAUUGGUCAAUGGGGGAAACCCUGAACCAGCAACGCCGCGUGAGGGAAGACGGUUUUCGGAUUGUAAACCUCUGUCCUCUGUGAAGAUAAUGACGGUAUCUAACGAAUAAGCACCGGCUAACUCCGUGCCAGCAGCCGCGGUAAUACGGAGGGUGCAAGCGUUACUCGGAAUCAUUGGGCGUAAAGAGCGCGUAGGCGGGAUAGCAAGUCAGAUGUGAAAUCCUAUGGCUUAACCAUAGAACUGCAUUUGAAACUGUUAUUCUAGAGUAUGGGAGAGGUAGGUGGAAUUCUUGGUGUAGGGGUAAAAUCCGUAGAGAUCAAGAGGAAUACUCAUUGCGAAGGCGACCUGCUAGAACAUAACUGACGCUGAUGCGCGAAAGCGUGGGGAGCAAACAGGAUUAGAUACCCGGGUAGUC